CUUCAAUUGACUAAUUAUUUAUAUGGUAUUUAUGUAAUUAUUUUAGUUCAGAUGAAUUUAAAGAGCGACUUAAGAACCAGGGAACGCCGUCGUUCAACUCGACCAGCCGCCUCCACCUGUGCCCACAUCGCCUGAAGAGUCGGCCCGAGUGGAAGCUGAAAGCAGCAAAGAGGAACUAGAUGUAACUUUGACGAAGGAUAAAGAAACGCUUAGUGAUGAAAAAGAGGAAAAAACUGAGUCUGAAGACGCAACAGCGAUGGAGGAGAGCACAGAACAGGAGCCAGAGAAACCAGGAACUAAAGAAAAUGACCAGAAUGAGUGUCAGACGUCAGGAGACUCCGCGGUCGAAGGUCCCUCUUCCGUGGACUUUCUGUCAGAAGAGAUUUUGGACGAAGGCGAUAUUAAGAUCCCGGAGACGACGGAGGAGAAACCUGAGAGUGGAUCGAAACCGGACCCAAUCGAAGAAAUCCCACUGAGUUUAGAACCAGCUUCUCCGACGGAGGGAGAGACUCUGGACAAACGACUCACCAUGAACAGCUUCAGUAAAGGUGAAAACUUUCACAAGAUUAAAGCUGAUCCAAUCGUUUUCUAACACGGCUUUCUUGUUCCACAGAAUGUCAUGUAUCAUAUCAAUCAGUCCUGGCACCAAAAGUAAGUGUUUAUUGUUUAUAUGGAUUUGUAAACAUCAGAGCAAAUGACGUCAGAACGAGAGCAAAGUGACAAAUUAUUACUUAACCUCUUGAACCGAGCGCAUUGUCUCCAGUUCGGCUUCACCCAAAUCUAAAAGCUUCUCGACUGGAGAGCAGCAGUGUAACGCCUCAUUUGAAAGCUAAGACCUACUAAAAUGAAUGUUGUCACAUUGUCACCGCGUUUUUGUCACAUAUUUGAAGCGUUUUUCUCGUGAUUUUGUUUCUUUCUCAUGUUUUUGUUACUUUUUCA
This 939-nucleotide long non-coding RNA is filed under the name Neogobius melanostomus (round goby). RNAcentral describes it as "lncRNA (ENSNMLG00000012017.1)". The record is from RNAcentral. Lineage: Eukaryota; Metazoa; Chordata; Actinopteri; Gobiiformes; Gobiidae.